This 559-nucleotide long non-coding RNA is filed under the name Homo sapiens (human). Its description in RNAcentral is "HSALNT0298448". Lineage: Eukaryota; Metazoa; Chordata; Mammalia; Primates; Hominidae. The record is from RNAcentral.
CUCAUUCUCUGCAUCAGCCAGACUUGGCAUAAGCCAUGACCUGUUUCAGCCUCAGUUUUCUUGUCUGUAAAAUGAGAAGAUUAAACUAUUCUAAAGUUGAUGCUUGGCAUGCUUUUCUCUUCCCAGGAGUCUUGUGUAAAAACUAAACAGAUACAACAGAUUUACUCCUCCGUCAGCAAUAUUUACUGAACACCACUAUGUUCCAGGCAUUGUCUUGGGUGCUGAUUAUGAAGCAAUGAACACAGCAGUCUUGAUUCUCUUGAGGCUUAUGCCCUGGCUGGAGGAAGCAGAUGGACAAGUGAAUGCAUGGUUAUGUCAGGUGGUGAUGAGAAUGUCAGAGUACUAUACCCAAGAGCAAACCAGUGAAAAAAUGGCCUUCGCACUCCUGAGAGACCUUUCACCGGGCUUUCUACUUUUGAAUUCUCUCCAUAGCUGGUUUCCUCUUAGGCCUCGAUAGAGCAGUCCCUGAAUCACACAGGUAUGCUGACUACGUCUUUUCCUGGUACAAACCAUCAUGGGGGAAACACACAGCAAGAAGCAUCUUCAGGUCACAAGAUAG